AACGCGAAGAACCUUACCUACUCUUGACAUCCAGAGAAGCCAGCAGAGAUGCAGGUGUGCCUUCGGGAACUCUGAGACAGGUGCUGCAUGGCUGUCGUCAGCUCGUGUUGUGAAAUGUUGGGUUAAGUCCCGCAACGAGCGCAACCCUUAUCCUUGUUUGCCAGCACGUAAUGGUGGGAACUCCAGGGAGACUGCCGGUGAUAAACCGGAGGAAGGUGGGGACGACGUCAAGUCAUCAUGGCCCUUACGAGUAGGGCUACACACGUGCUACAAUGGUGCAUACAGAGGGAAGCAAGAGCGCGAGCUGGAGCGGAUCCCAAAAAGUGCAUCGUAGUCCGGAUUGGAGUCUGCAACUCGACUCCAUGAAGUCGGAAUCGCUAGUAAUCGUGGAUCAGAAUGCCACGGUGAAUACGUUCCCGGGUCUUGUACACACCG
This 435-nucleotide ribosomal RNA is filed under the name uncultured bacterium. RNAcentral's name for it is "bacterial SSU rRNA". It matches the Rfam family "Bacterial small subunit ribosomal RNA", at positions 958 to 1392 of the family's 1533-position model. The record is from RNAcentral.